RNA transcript from Lycium ferocissimum, 3311 nucleotides. It is a transcript of the gene named probable inactive ATP-dependent zinc metalloprotease FTSHI 4, chloroplastic, with no coding region annotated. Lineage: Eukaryota; Viridiplantae; Streptophyta; Magnoliopsida; Solanales; Solanaceae. The record is from RefSeq and is a predicted model, not a curated record. The transcript has 17 exons.
UCAAAGAAGACAUGACAUCCAACAUUCAUUUGCUAAAACCCUCUUUCCCUCCUCCUAAAACCCUACCCACACGUUCAUCUCCAUUCACCGCUUUCAAUUUGCACCUUAAACCUCCCACAAAUUGCCUCUGUAUUAGCUCCAAAAAAGCCAUCCAGGCUACCUCCACUUCCACUUCCACUUCCAAUUCUAAUGAUGAAAAUGAGUCAGCUCAGCAACUUUUUGAGAAACUGAAGGAGGCAGAGCGUGAACGGAUAAAUAAUUUAGAGGAGUUUGAAAGAAAGGCAAAUGUUCAAUUAGAGAGGCAGCUUGUGCUGGCUUCGGAAUGGAGUAGGAAAUUGCUGGCCAUGCAGGGAAAGUUGAAGGGGACAGAGUGGGAUCCUGAAAAUUCUCAUAAGAUAGACUACAGUGAAUUUCAAAAGCUUCUGAAUGCAAACAAUGUGCAGUUUAUGGAGUAUUCAAACUACGGGCAGACGGUUUCAGUAAUUCUGCCAUACUACAAGGAUGGAAAAACAGAAGGUUCAGGAGGGGACUCUAGAAAGGAAAUUGUCUUCAAGCGUCAUAUCGUUGACCGGAUGCCAAUAGAUAGCUGGAAUGAUGUUUGGAGGAAGUUGCAUCAACAGCUUGUAAAUGUUGAUGUGUAUAAUGUGAAUAACAUCCCUGCUGAAGUUUACUCUAGUGUCGCGACAGCAGUUGUGUGGUCUAUGCGGCUGGCCCUUUCAGUUCUCUUAUACAUUUGGAUUGAUAAUAAGAUGAGACCAAUUUAUUCAAAACUAAUACCUUGCGAUUUGGGCAGCCCUCCCAAAAAGAUAAGAGAGCCGCUCAAGCAGAAGGCCCUUGGUUCAUUAGGAAAGAGCCGUGCAAAAUUCAUUUCAGCAGAAGAAAAAACUGGUAUAACUUUUGAUGAUUUUGCUGGCCAAGAAUAUAUUAAGAGAGAACUUCAAGAGAUUGUUCGAAUACUGAGGAAUGAAGAUGAGUUUCAAGACAAAGGGAUUUAUUGCCCAAAAGGUGUGCUUCUCCAUGGUCCUCCCGGAACUGGCAAAACACUUCUGGCAAAAGCUAUAGCUGGAGAAGCAGGAUUACCUUUUUUUGCUGCUAAUGGUACUGAUUUUGUUGAGAUGUUUGUUGGUGUGGCUGCUUCACGUGUGAAGGACCUUUUUGCCAGUGCCAGGUCAUUUGCUCCUUCUAUUAUUUUCAUUGACGAGAUAGAUGCAAUUGGCAGCAAACGUGGUGGACCGGAUAUUGGCGGGGGUGGUGCAGAGAGGGAACAAGGGCUUCUUCAGAUACUGACAGAAAUGGAUGGAUUUAAAGUGUCAACGUCACAGGUCUUAGUUAUUGGUGCAACCAAUAGAUUGGAUAUUCUUGAUCCUGCCCUGUUACGAAAGGGUCGCUUUGACAAGAUUAUUAGGGUUGGUUUGCCCUCAAAAGAUGGUAGAUUGGCCAUAUUGAAGGUGCACGCUCGAAACAAAUUUUUCCGGUCAGAAGAGGAAAAGGACACUUUAUUGCAGGAAAUUGCAGAGCAAACAGAAGAUUUUACUGGAGCUGAACUUCAAAAUAUAUUGAAUGAAGCUGGAAUUUUGACUGCGAGGAAAGACUUGGACUAUAUAGGACGAGAUGAACUUCUUGAGGCAUUGAAGAGGCAAAAGGGCACAUUUGAAACGGGUCAAGAAGAUAGUACUGAGGUCCCUGAGGAGUUAACACUAAGACUAGCUUACAGAGAAGCUGCUGUUGCAGUUCUUGCAUGUUACCUUCCAGAUCCCUACCGACCAUUCAGUGAGACGGAUAUCAAAUCCAUCCGUAGUCAGCCCAAUAUGCAAUUCGUUGAGAUUGGAGGCAGAGUGUUUAAAAGGAAAGCAGAUUAUGUGAACUCAAUAGUCCGUGCAUGUGCUCCCAGAGUAAUUGAGGAAGAAAUGUUUGGAGUUGACAAUCUAUGCUGGAUCUCUGCAAAAGCAACUUUAGAAGCUUCCAGGCUAGCAGAAUUUUUGAUAUUGCAGACAGGGUUAACUGCCUUGGGAAAGGCUUAUUACAGAUACCAGAGAGAUCUCUUACCAAAUCUCCCUGCUAAAAUUGAAGCACUUAGAGAUGAGUACAUGCGAUAUGCAGUGGAGAAAUGUUUAUCUAUUCUAAAGGAGAACCACGAUGCUGUGGAGACAAUUACAGAUGUGUUGCUUGAGAAAGGAGAGAUCAAAGCCGAUGAAAUUUGGAGCAUAUACAAAAGCUCACCUAAAAGUCCUCAGCCUACUGUGAGUCCCAUCGAUGAAUAUGGGGCCCUUAUAUAUGCUGGACGGUGGGGAGUCCAUGGAGUUUCACUUCCAGGGAGGGUGACAUUUGCACCUGGGAAUGUUGGAUUUGCAACUUUUGGUGCACCACGACCUAUGGAGACCCAGAUAAUUAGUGAUGAAACAUGGAAGCUAGUAGAUGGCAUUUGGGAUAAAAGGGUCGAGGAAAUGAAAGCUGCUGUAUCACUAGAAAUUGAAGAAGAUAAGGAGAAGCCAAAACUUCUGAUGGCCAGUCAUUUCCUAUAGCUUCCAAAUAGCGGAUACAGGUUUUGCCACUAGUCUCUGAGCGGCAUAUAUUGUGCAGCUAUGGCUUUAUUUCGUCUGCUCUAAUUCCAUGAGGAUGCAGCAUUAUUUGCUGAUUGCCUGAGUUUGAAGGUUUUCUUCAUAAUUAUGCAAAGUCAAAAGUGCGGCAAGCAAGUUGGAUGGAGGGGGUAUUUAUCAGUGUUCCUCGUUCUGAUUGACAAAAUUGGUUGCAGGCAGGCUGCGGCACUCUUUGAUCCUUGUUUGUUCUAGAUGUGAGCAGCCAAGCAUUCACGUCUGGAAGAAGUGUCUUGACAUCUGUAGCAUAUCCAUCGCUUUUGAGAUUAGAGCUAGUCUCCGGCUAUUCUAUGCAUAUUUUCAUGAGAUGUUUGGAUGAUGAUAAAUUGUUUCGACAAGGCUAGCCUUAGACGUUAGCCACUUAUGGAGUGCUUUGGAGAAAUGCCGCGCUGAAAAUUAACAUCCCCAGUAGCACAACGAAGAGGAGCUCAAGAGUGGUGAAGAAAUUGUUCUAGAUGAUGGGAUGCAAGGUGCCCUUUUAGUCCAAUCAGUCGAUCAACUCACCUGGAUCCCAAACUAGUUAUGAAGGUGCCUUUUAGUUAAAUUUUGUAUAUUGUUCCAGCACCAACUCCAAGCACCUUCCCUGUCCCUUAAGCCCCAUCCGAAAUUUUGUAAUAACUGGAGAUUCAACUUCCUCUGCUUCGAAAUAGUGUUGCGGGGAUUAUAGUGGUGAUACCAUUAUCAUAAUUAAUUCUAGGUCAGUGGCAGUUUGCUAUA